RNAcentral lists this long non-coding RNA (871 nucleotides) under Papio anubis (olive baboon). RNAcentral describes it as "lncRNA (ENSPANG00000044273.1)". The record is from RNAcentral. Lineage: Eukaryota; Metazoa; Chordata; Mammalia; Primates; Cercopithecidae.
GAGAGGAAUGGGAGCUGUGGGAAGACAUGAAUUCAGCAUUUCAUGGAUUACACGGCAGAAGACAUGGGAGAGUAAGGCUGAGAGGCCGGUGCCACUCACUUGCCUGCCUUCCAUCUGACCAGGCUGCGCUCUCUGUCAGGGUCACUGUCCCCUGGCCUCACCAAAAAUAGAAUGAGCACUGCACGGGAAAGGAAGGAGGAGGUGCUGUGGCCAUAACCAUAGGGUAACGGAGGUGCAGGGCGGGUCAGGGAAUGGCUCAGAAGGACCCUCCCCAGCUGGCCCAAGGACUCCACGCUUCAGGCCCCUCUACAGCAUCCAUGCUGAGACAUCAGCCAGCCUAUGCUGGAAUGCCUCCUGGGUCAGAGAGUUCAGCACCUCACCUGGCCUGAAAUCACCGAAGGUUAGAGCUGGAAGGGGCCCUUGGGACUGUCAGGCCCUGCCCAUGCUCAUGCUUCCUGUCACCCUUCUUAUACUCUGAAAGUGACCUCCCUGUCACUCUUACCCUUAAGGAGAGUCUGCUCCUUGUACUUAUUAGCCAAACUGCCUCUUUCAAGUGUCACAUUCAAUAGCUAAACCGUGGGGCAAGGCAGUGUGGGAGCUCCUCCACUCUCCUCACUAUCAUUUGCAAAUUCCUUCACUAAGUAUGUGUUCUUAUUUAGUGUGAAUUCAUAUUCAGUGCCUACAACUGAGAAUUGCUGAGAAGUCAUCAAGAAGACCCACCUUGUCACUAUGCACAUCCUCAGUUCUGCCUACAGCUGAGAAUUCUUAUUCAUAUGUAUUCAUAUUCUGUACCUGCAACUGAGCUAAGUGCUUGCUGUACUAAGUACUUGGAAUACAUUGUUGAAGUAAAACAAAACAGAUUUAAAAAUUC